Molecule: ribosomal RNA, 253 nt
Filed under: uncultured bacterium
Lineage: Bacteria
Description: partial 16S ribosomal RNA
Rfam family: Bacterial small subunit ribosomal RNA
Source: RNAcentral
UACGUAGGGGGCAAGCGUUGUCCGGAUUUAUUGGGCGUAAAGAGCGUGUAGGCGGCCAGGUAGGUCCGCUGUGAAAACUCGAGGCUCAACCUCGAGAUGUCGGCGGAAACCCUCUGGCUAGAGUCCGGAAGAGGAGAGUGGAAUUCCCGGUGUAGCGGUGAAAUGCGCAGAUAUCGGGAAGAACACCCGUGGCGAAGGCGGCUCUCUGGGACGGUACUGACGCUGAGACGCGAAAGCGUGGGGAGCGAACAGG